Molecule: non-coding RNA, 3569 nt
Organism: Xyrichtys novacula (pearly razorfish)
Lineage: Eukaryota; Metazoa; Chordata; Actinopteri; Labriformes; Labridae
Source: the annotation of a GenBank genome assembly
GGCGAACGCUUUUGGGAGAUCUUACUCUCCCACUGGGAACUUGAUCCCUCUGAAUUGGGAGAGAGAAGACACUUCUAUGCAUCAAAGCAAAUUCAUCGGCCAGGACAGCAGCAGCAUUAAUGGACGAGACCUUUUGUUCAUAUAGACAGACUACAACCCUUUCUGGAAGGCGAUUUUUAAAUUCCUUCAGUAGGAUGAGUUCACGGAGGUCAUCCAUAGUUUUAACUUUCCUGGCCUGGCACCACUGGUCAAAAAGCACACCUUUCUCUUUCGCAAACUCUACUUAUGUCUGGGUGGAAGUCUCUUCACAUUUUCUCAAUCUUUGUCUAUAUGCUUCAUGAGCAUGGAGGAUCAUAGACUGUGUGGAGGAUUAAUGAGAAUGGAGGACAGUGACUUUCACAAUAUCAUAAUUAAAGCUGUCUGCGAUGGACAGAGAGGCGCAAACUUCUUGAGCUUUACCCACCAACUUACACUGAAGUGAAAGAGGCCACAUGCUUUUAGGCCAGUUCAGAGUCUGCGCUCAAAUGCAUUAAAAUAAGAAUCUACCUCUGACUCUCUGAAUGAUGGGACUAGUGCAAUGUGCUUACUCACAUCGAAGCUAUAACAAGCUCGGGGUUUAGGUGCAUGUGAUAGAGAGGCUUCAGGCCUGGCAGCUACAGGGGCUUCCCUCUCUAACUCCAGAGCCCUUAACCUCAAAUGCAUGGCUUCCCCCUCCAACUCCCUGUUUCUCACCUCCAUCUCCCUUAUGCGCAGAGUUAAAGUGAGGUCCUCUGACAGGGCUCUGUUUCUUUGGUGGGUGAGGCAGGCAGCGUCCCAAUUACUCUCCUGCGGUAUACUGGCGCUAAGCAAACUUUAAGUCUUGAAGGUGUCCUCCCAUUUUUGGCCGAUUCUUGUAGCGGUUCAGAUGCUCUAGUGUGGGGAGUAAAAAUGAGUGCCGUGCGUGCGCCUCUGCAUUUGACUCGGCUGGCCUCCAUAAUCGCGACAGGUAAUUUUCAAAUUGCUGUGAGGUGUCAGCUCCCAGUAGCUGGCAUUGAUGUAAUUCUUGGAAGUGAUAUGGCUGGCGGGAAAGUUUUCCUGUCCCCUGUAGUAACCGACAACCCGACCUCCACAAUUGUGUCUCUCCACUUAACAUCUGAUAAGUCUGUGUCUUACCUUCUGGAUGAUGGUGUUUUAUAAGCACAUGGGUCUGCGCGCCAAAUUGUAGUCCCGCAGCUUUUCCGAUCACAGGUCCUAACUCUGGCCCAUGACCACUGUCUGUCUAGACACUUGGGCAUCAGAAAACGUAUCCUCCAUUAUUUUUUCUGGCCCCGGUCUAAAGUGCGAUGUGGUAAAAUUCUGUCAUGCCAUACCUGCUAAGUUUCCAGUAAGCCGAACCAAAAUAUUCUUGCUGCUCCAUUACAUCCCAUUCUGGUAGUUGGUGAGCCAUUUGAGCAUGUUAUUGUUGACUGCAUUGGCCCGUUACCAAAACCAAAUUCUGGCCACCAGUAUAUCCUCACAGUGAUGUGUGCUGCCACACGCUAUCCAGAAGCCAUCCCAUUGCGCACAUUAAAAGCCCAUGGCAUUGUGAAAGCACUUGUAAAGUUCUUUUCCACUUCCAAAACACAUUCAAAGUGACCAAGGCUCAAACUUUAUGUCCAGGAUUUUUGCAAAGGCCAUGUCAGAGCUAAAUGUUAAACACCACACUUUCAGAAAAGUCAAGCCAGAAAGUCAAGGCGCAUUGGAAAAAUUUCACCAAACUCUGAAAAGCUUGCUGCAUAAAUUCUGCACUGAGUUGGCCCAUAAGUGGGAUGACGGGUUACCCCUGUUGUUGUUUGCUGUGAGGGAAACUGUACAGGAGUCCUUAGGGUUCAGUCCAGCCGAUUUACUUUUUGGCCACAAUGUGCACAGUCCUUUGCGCCUGUUGCGGGAGCAGUGGCUCUCCGGUAAAUCCGGUUCCAAAGAAAACAUUUUGGACUAUGUCAGUUUGUUUCGGGAGAAAUUACAUCACGCAUGUGAAAUGGCACGGGAAAAUUGUGACGUUUAUUUGGAUGAUAUAGUAGCCUAUUCAUCCACCUGGGUUGAACAUCUCCUCACUGUCUGUGAUAUUUUCUGUCUGCAUAUGGCUUCCCUCACACUCAACUUGGCCAAAUGUGAGUUUGGGAAGGCUGUUGUCACUUAUCUGGGUAAGCAGGGGGGACAGUGUUGCGUCUGUCUCCGCCAAAGUGCAGGCCAUUCUGCAUUUCCCACCUCCCCAAACGUGCCGUGAACUCUGCCGUUUUUUGGGGGGACUUAGUGAGUCCUAAUCGACCAUUUGAGUGGUCAGAGGAAUGUCAGUCUGCUUUUGAGGCUGCUAAAGCUCUCUUCUGCAGCGCUCCUGUGCUUGCUGCUCCCAACUUUCUCUGCCCGUUUAAGCUGGAAGUUGAUGCCAGUGCGCAUGGAGCAGGCGCGGUACUUCUGCAGGAGGAUGACCGCGGCAUUGACCACCCUGUUGCUUACUUCUCCAAAAAGUUCAAUAAACACCAGCUGCACUACAAUGCUAUUAAGAAAGAGGCCCUGUCUUUGCUAUUAGCUCUCCAACACUUCUCAGUUUAUGUCAGUUCCAGUUCAGUGCCCACUGUCGUCUUCUCAGACCACAACCCGCUCGUGUUUCUGACUCGGAUGCAGAAUAGCAACCAGCGGCUGAUGCGUUGGUCUCUGUUGCUUCAGGACUUUAACGUUGAACUUUGUUAUGAAAGGGGUUUAAAAAAUGUAAUGGCGGAUGCCUUGUCCCGUUCUGGUUAAAAAUCUAAUUUUCUGUAGGGGGAUAAUGUUUGAUUUUGUUUGGGUGGGGAGUUGUUAUGACUGUAGUUGGUUUCUCCUGUUUUUGGUUAGGAGUUAGGUUACCUGUUGUCUUUUGUUUUAUAUUUUUUUUACUACAGGAAAGUUAGGGUUCUUGGUUUAGCUGUUUUUGUUUGUUGUGUUGGCAUUGCUCCCCUCCAAAGUCAAUAAAAAAUGCCUUUUAUGUGAACUUUAACCUCAUCGUUGGCUGGUCUUCCUGGGAGUGGGAAGAGCGGGGCACUCAAUCAUGUGCGGUCCUGGUUCCCCUAGGCCAGGGCCAUAACAGUAACAGAUUUCCCUCGCCAGACACCUUAUUGUUGUCAAAAAUCACAUUUUGACGGCAAUCGGGCAGUCUAAUGAAACAACGCUGAGAUUUCUAAGCAUGUGCAAAAAAAAGCUGCAUUUACAAACUGAUAUCAGUCAUCUGAGGAUUAAACUUACUCUCUCACAUAUUUUAACACUCUGAAUGAUCAAGUGGAGAUGUAAAACAUUAUAUGUUACUGUAAAAACACAUAGGGUGUUUUUCUCCGAAACAUGUAACCUCAUUUUCUUUUAGAAAGUGAAAUCAUCUGUAAUACUUAACAUCCAGUAAUUUCUACCACUGUCCUUCAUCUAUUACAGUUUUAUUCCCCCUCUCAUCUGUAACCACCAUGUCUUAUUCUCAUCGACACACUCUCAUCCACAAUUCUCAACUCUUCAUCCUAAUCACCAGCUCUCAGCUUUGGUUUUAACCCUCCCAACGCUCUUAUUGACCCCUCUUGUGUGGUGUCCAC